UACGUAGGGUGCAAGCGUUGUCCGGAAUUAUUGGGCGUAAAGAGCGUGUAGGCGGCCAGAUAGGUCAGCUGUGAAAACUCGAGGCUCAACCUCGAGACGUCGGUUGAAACCAUCUGGCUAGAGUCCGGAAGAGGAGAGUGGAAUUCCCGGUGUAGCGGUGAAAUGCGCAGAUAUCGGGAAGAACACCCGUGGCGAAGGCGGCUCUCUGGGACGGUACUGACGCUGAGACGCGAAAGCGUGGGGAGCGAACAGG
RNAcentral lists this ribosomal RNA (253 nucleotides) under uncultured bacterium. RNAcentral's name for it is "partial 16S ribosomal RNA". It matches the Rfam family "Bacterial small subunit ribosomal RNA", at positions 524 to 776 of the family's 1533-position model. The record is from RNAcentral.